Molecule: ribosomal RNA, 679 nt
Filed under: Salmonella enterica
Lineage: Bacteria; Pseudomonadati; Pseudomonadota; Gammaproteobacteria; Enterobacterales; Enterobacteriaceae
Description: partial 23S ribosomal RNA
Rfam family: Bacterial large subunit ribosomal RNA
Source: RNAcentral
ACCCUUUAAUGUUUGAUGUUCUAACGUGGACCCGUGAUCCGGGUUGCGGACAGUGUCUGGUGGGUAGUUUGACUGGGGCGGUCUCCUCCUAAAGAGUAACGGAGGAGCACGAAGGUUGGCUAAUCCUGGUCGGACAUCAGGAGGUUAGUGCAAUGGCAUAAGCCAGCUUGACUGCGAGCGUGACGGCGCGAGCAGGUGCGAAAGCAGGUCAUAGUGAUCCGGUGGUUCUGAAUGGAAGGGCCAUCGCUCAACGGAUAAAAGGUACUCCGGGGAUAACAGGCUGAUACCGCCCAAGAGUUCAUAUCGACGGCGGUGUUUGGCACCUCGAUGUCGGCUCAUCACAUCCUGGGGCUGAAGUAGGUCCCAAGGGUAUGGCUGUUCGCCAUUUAAAGUGGUACGCGAGCUGGGUUUAGAACGUCGUGAGACAGUUCGGUCCCUAUCUGCCGUGGGCGCUGGAGAACUGAGGGGGGCUGCUCCUAGUACGAGAGGACCGGAGUGGACGCAUCACUGGUGUUCGGGUUGUCAUGCCAAUGGCACUGCCCGGUAGCUAAAUGCGGAAGAGAUAAGUGCUGAAAGCAUCUAAGCACGAAACUUGCCCCGAGAUGAGUUCUCCCUGAGACUUAAAGUCUCCUGAAGGAACGUUGAAGACGACGACGUUGAUAGGCCGGGUGUGUAAGCG